CCUUAGAGUUUGAUCAUGGCUCAGAUUGAACGCUGGCGGCAGGCCUAACACAUGCAAGUCGAGCGGUAACAGAAAGUAGCUUGCUACUUUGCUGACGAGCGGCGGACGGGUGAGUAAUGCUUGGGAACAUGCCUUGAGGUGGGGGACAACAGUUGGAAACGACUGCUAAUACCGCAUAAUGUCUACGGACCAAAGGGGGCUUCGGCUCUCGCCUUUAGAUUGGCCCAAGUGGGAUUAGCUAGUUGGUGAGGUAAUGGCUCACCAAGGCGACGAUCCCUAGCUGGUUUGAGAGGAUGAUCAGCCACACUGGGACUGAGACACGGCCCAGACUCCUACGGGAGGCAGCAGUGGGGAAUAUUGCACAAUGGGCGCAAGCCUGAUGCAGCCAUGCCGCGUGUGUGAAGAAGGCCUUCGGGUUGUAAAGCACUUUCAGUCAGGAGGAAAGCGUGGUGGUUAAUACCCAUCAUGUGUGACGUUACUGACAGAAGAAGCACCGGCUAACUCCGUGCCAGCAGCCGCGGUAAUACGGAGGGUGCGAGCGUUAAUCGGAAUUACUGGGCGUAAAGCGUACGCAGGCGGUUUGUUAAGCGAGAUGUGAAAGCCCCGGGCUCAACCUGGGAACUGCAUUUCGAACUGGCAAACUAGAGUGUGAUAGAGGGUGGUAGAAUUUCAGGUGUAGCGGUGAAAUGCGUAGAGAUCUGAAGGAAUACCGAUGGCGAAGGCAGCCACCUGGGUCAACACUGACGCUCAUGUACGAAAGCGUGGGGAGCAAACGGGAUUAGAUACCCCGGUAGUCCACGCCGUAAACGAUGUCUACUAGAAGCUCGGAGCCUCGGUUCUGUUUUUCAAAGCUAACGCAUUAAGUAGACCGCCUGGGGAGUACGGCCGCAAGGUUAAAACUCAAAUGAAUUGACGGGGGCCCGCACAAGCGGUGG
RNAcentral lists this ribosomal RNA (935 nucleotides) under uncultured bacterium. Its description in RNAcentral is "bacterial SSU rRNA". It matches the Rfam family "Bacterial small subunit ribosomal RNA", at positions 1 to 935 of the family's 1533-position model. The record is from RNAcentral.